This is a long non-coding RNA of Neomonachus schauinslandi (Hawaiian monk seal), 295 nucleotides long. RefSeq lists it as uncharacterized. The record is from RefSeq and is a predicted model, not a curated record. The transcript has 3 exons. NCBI's taxonomy places the organism in Eukaryota, Metazoa, Chordata, Mammalia, Carnivora, Phocidae.
ACAGGUACAUCCAGAUGCUGAAGGACCACAGGCCCCGGAUCGUGUGGGACAGCCAGGCAGCAGAGCAUUUCUUCGAGUACAAGAAAAGCCGCGGUGGGAGGCACAUGGUCUUCUACCCAACUCUGAAGUCUGUGCAGGUGCGGCUGGAGCUGGCCCGGGAGCUGGGCGUCGGAGUAUCCAUGUGGGAGCUGGGCCAGGGCCUGGACUACUUCUACGACCUGCUCUAGGCCUGGCUGCGAGCGGAUGUGUGCUUUCCUGAGCGAUGGAGUGACCAGUUCACAUGUGAAAUACAGAC